This 467-nucleotide long non-coding RNA is filed under the name Homo sapiens (human). RNAcentral describes it as "HSALNT0034131". The record is from RNAcentral. Lineage: Eukaryota; Metazoa; Chordata; Mammalia; Primates; Hominidae.
UGGUUCUCACUGUAAGCAGCUUUGGCCCUCCUUAGUCCCCCUACCCCCGAGCCCAGGGAAUUUGGCAAUGUCCAGAGACAUUUUUGCUUGUCACAACCGGAGAGGGGAGAUGCUACUCGCAUCUAGUAGGUAGCUGCUAAACAUCCUGCAGUGCAUGGGACAGCCCCUGCAGCAAAGGAGUAUCCAGUCCAAAAUAUCAGCAGAACUGAGGUUGAGAAACUCUGCUCCAUGCUAAGGACUGCAUUAGGGGCUAUGGGAAUAGCAAUCCCAGUAAACAGUGUCUCCAAACCUAAAAUCUUCCACUCAGCUGUUCCAGAUAGCAAAAUCAAAAAACAAACAAAUACCAACCAGUUAUAAGGUUUAGGAUCUGUUCUUAAUGAAUCUGUUAUAAUCUGGGAUGCUUCUGUCACCGAAAGUUAGACACUCCUGUGUUCACCAAGAGCAGGCACCCUGCAGAUGGUCAGGGA